Molecule: ribosomal RNA, 271 nt
Filed under: uncultured Solobacterium sp.
Lineage: Bacteria; Bacillati; Bacillota; Erysipelotrichia; Erysipelotrichales; Erysipelotrichaceae
Description: partial 16S ribosomal RNA
Rfam family: Bacterial small subunit ribosomal RNA
Source: RNAcentral
UCGAAGGAGUGGCGAACGGGUGAGUAAUACAUAAGCAACCUACCCACGAAGACUGGGAUAAUCUCUGGAAACGGGGACUAAUACCGGAUAGGUAAUCGGAAGGCAUCUUCUGGUUAUUAAAGGUUAAAAACACUGGUGGAUGGGCUUAUGGCGCAUUAGUUAGUUGGUGAGGUAACGGCCCACCAAGACGAUGAUGCGUAGCCGGCCUGAGAGGGUGAACGGCCACAUUGGGACUGAGACACGGCCCAGACUCCUACGGGAGGCAGCAGCA